Molecule: transfer-messenger RNA, 418 nt
Filed under: Candidatus Omnitrophota
Lineage: Bacteria; Pseudomonadati
Also listed under: 1 other name
Description: SCPY01 sp004299495 Standard tmRNA
Rfam family: transfer-messenger RNA
About the family: Bacterial tmRNA, also known as 10Sa RNA or SsrA, is named for its dual tRNA and mRNA-like properties. Its role is to liberate the mRNA from a stalled ribosome.
Source: RNAcentral
GGGGGUGAAAGGUAUCGACUUAGGCAGGAGGGUAAAGGCUGCAUGCCGCGGAAGCAAUGACGGCCGCGUGAACAAUCAUUGCACAACACAAAUGCUGAUAAAACAUCAGUAUUAACCUUCAACGGGUUAAUGGGAGCUAUGCAGGUAGUAACUCCUAGCCGCCCGUUGAUGGCGCCAGUCUUCGCUCACUAAUCUGAGCGAAGCCUCAAUCUGAUCUGCCUAAGGGUUAGAAUUGAGCACUAAUUUAGGCUGGUUCCUUAUCCUGCCUUGGGAUGAGGGAUGAGAUUUUUAAAGGAUAGUCCAUUUGUAUCCCGCUUACCGGAGCCGGAUGGAUGAGCAAAUAAAAGGUAAUCUACGCAUGUAGUAGUUUUUACGCGAUUGUCUAAGGACGCGGGUUCAAUUCCCGCCACCUCCACCA